This 2451-nucleotide ribosomal RNA is filed under the name Triticum aestivum (bread wheat). RNAcentral describes it as "partial small subunit ribosomal RNA". The record is from RNAcentral. Lineage: Eukaryota; Viridiplantae; Streptophyta; Magnoliopsida; Poales; Poaceae.
AUGCUCCCCAUGAAUAAACAUGCUUUUGAUGUGCCAUAUACUUGUUUGCUCAAUUUGUGUCCCCAUCGUGUCAUACAUAACAACUAUUCUUUCAUGAUGGAUGACAUGUUCAUAUACCAUGCCUCAAAUUUCUUUGAGCAUUGCUUAUCUUGUGCUAACUCACACGUGCACAUACACAUCAUGAUGGAUGAUAUGUACAUUUACCACACACACAAUUUCUUUCGUUUGUGUCUCUUUUGUGUAGAUACCCAUGAAUACUUGUCAACCUCGCAAUCCCACGAGUUGACAAAACGAGCUCUAGAGAGCAACGAUGAUUUGGGAUCCCAUGGAUUGUCUUUCCCACCGCUCUCUUCGCGCAAAGGCUUAGCGCAUUUCUUCUACAUGGCCCUCACUUGGCUAUGGGUUGUUGUCCAUUACAUAUUAUAUGCCCAUCUUGCCAUGUUCACUUUGCAUGAUAUGCUUAUUCCUAUGCCUUUGCCAUGCAUUUGUGACCCAUGCUUUGCAUUACACAUGAUGAUUGAUUCUCAUACUUGUAUGUGUAUUUGCAAGCUUGGUGGAGAUAUUGCUUGUUAUUUCCAUAUUCCAUCUAUGACCCAUUCCUAUGAUGAUACUAUGAUCUUGCUUUGUGUUCGUGCUUGCGAUAUGUCAUGUGCAUUGCCUAUAUCCACUAUUUGCUCACAUGAAAUGAUUGCCAUGAUUUACUCUAGUGUGUUGCAUCUUCGCUCCACUAGUUUGCACGACUUGAUUGAUGUACUUGCUUAUGUUGCAUCACCAAUGACUCAUACUUGCUCAUUUCAUGCGGUUGAUGACAACCAUCUACAUGCUUUGCACAUGAUUGUUAUUGCGCAUACGCUCUUUGUUUUGUUGUGUGCAUGUGUAGGAUACUUGGACUUCGUGUCGACUUCCACUUCAUAUGAGUUGACAAUUCGAGCUCUUGAGAGCGAGCCUCAUACAUUCGACCAUGACUCGCUUCUACACCACAUUUCCUACCACUUCGACAUUGUGAAGAACGCACAAGGACAUGCUUUCGAGGUGAUAUCCUUCUAUCUCGAGAACACCCAAACCAUGAGCAUGCAUAUUGUGGAUCAUACUUCAUGUGUUGCUUGCUCCAUGACACCUUGCACACAUGCUAGCGAUCUUGCUUCGACCUAUCAUUACCACAUUGCCAUGCCACAUGAUAUAUAUGCAUUGUGUGUUGCAUCUAGUUCUUCACAUAUGCCAUGUCCCUUUGCUUAUCACAUGCUUGACUUGAUUACCUCACACAUGUUGAACAAUUGCUCUUUCCAUUGUGUUGAGUGCCACGAUAUCUUCACUACACCCUAUGCACGUUAUGCUUGGAUUGUCUUGCACUUGCCCCAUGUGUUUAGACAUUUCACUAUAUUUGGUGCCUACCAUAGACCGUUCAUUGAGCACUUUAUGCAUGCUUGCUAUGACCUUGAGGUAGAUGCUUGUUCACUUAUCACAUAUAUUUGCAUCUUGACCUCCCAUUUACAUGCUUGUUCCCAUGAUGUACUUGAUUGUGCUCAAUUUAUAUGCUCAAAUGCCAUGACACACUUCUUUGUCAAACCAUAUGUUAUGCUUGAUGACAACACUUGUUGGGUGAAUCACCUCUUGAAUGCUUGGUUUUGCUCUUACGACAACCACAUUUGUUUUUCCAAGUGCUUGUUAUCUUUGCUCCUUUUGAAGGAAUUACAAGACGGUGUGACAUUGGAGAGUGCCCAUUUGGAACUACAAGAUGACGAAUGCUUGGUGAUCGUCCACUUCUACACGACGCCAUCAUCUCUUUCCCAUGGUGAUUUGGAUUUCGAUCCGAGGUCGGAUCUUUCCCAAGGGGGAGGGGAUGAUGCGGAGCAUCCUAUGGACAUCACCAUGUCAAGAGUCCAUUUGACAAGUGACACGUGCCACAUCUACUUCAUGCAUACAAAGGUGAAUCAUCUCCUUUACACGUGUCCACUUGUACCCUUCGAGGAUGGUAUACUACUUGACCCCUCUCUCGUGUGCAUACUUAGGUGUGAGCGGAGCUACACAUUCAUCAUGGAGGAGUCCAAGCGCAAGAGAACAACUACACCAUCCAAGACGGAAGCCUGGAAGCGAAGAAGGAAGUGCCAAGAGGAAGGCAGCAGCUCCCAGGCGACCCCGUGCGCACGGGCCCCUCCGACCCCGUGCCCACGGGCCUCCCUGGCUGGCGGUCCUGAAGACCCCGUGCGCACGGGCGUGUACCGUGCCCACGGGACCCCCGUGUCCACGGGCCUCACGGACCCCGUGCGCACGGGCCCUUGCGUCCGGUCCCUGGAUACCCCGUGCGCACGGGCUCCACUUACCCCGUGCACAUGGGGCCCCCUGUGUGAUGCUGCGGGCUUUGCUCAUGUUUUACCAUUUCACCCCCACUUAUCCCUCUCUUUGCCUAGGACUAUAUAUACUCCUUCAUCUCCUCCAUUUAGACUUAGCUAA